GCCAGGCGUGGUGGUGGGCACCUGUAAUCCCAGCUACUUGGGAGGCUGAGGCAGGAGAAUUGCUUGAACCCGGGAGACAGAGGUUGCAGUGAGCCGAGAUCACGCCACUGCACUCCCGCCUGGGUGACAGAGCAAGACUCUGUCUCAA
Molecule: unclassified non-coding RNA, 148 nt
Organism: Pongo abelii (Sumatran orangutan)
Lineage: Eukaryota; Metazoa; Chordata; Mammalia; Primates; Hominidae
Rfam family: Metazoan signal recognition particle RNA
About the family: The signal recognition particle (SRP) is a universally conserved ribonucleoprotein. It is involved in the co-translational targeting of proteins to membranes. The eukaryotic SRP consists of a 300-nucleotide 7S RNA and six proteins: SRPs 72, 68, 54, 19, 14, and 9.
Source: Ensembl